GCGGGCCGCCUCCUGGCGGCGGGGCGCGGCGCUGCGCGGAGGGGCGGCCCCGGCCGGCGCCGCUGGCGGACGCUGCGCCGCGCCGAGCAUGCGAGUGCCGGCGGGGCGGGCUGCAGCGGCCGGCCGGAGCCGGGGGAGGCGGCGGAGCCAUGCUGCUGGCCUCGGCCGUGGUGGUGUGGGAAUGGCUGAACGAGCACGGGCGCUGGCGGCCCUACAGCCCGGCCGUCAGCCACCACAUCGAGGCGGUGGCCCGCGGCGGGCCACGGGCGGGCGGCAGCGUCGUGCUGGGCCAGGCCGACAGCCGCCUGGCGCCCUACAUCAUCGACCUGCAGUCCAUGCACCAGUUCCGCCAGGACACGGGCACUAUCCGUCCUGUCCGGCGCAGCUACUACGACCCAUCGUCAGCGCCAGGCAAGGGUGUCGUGUGGGAGUGGGAGAAUGACAGCGGGUCCUGGACGCCGUACGACAUGGACGUGGGCAUUACCAUCCAGCGCGCCUACGAGAAGCAGCACCCGUGGGUGGACCUGAGCGCCAUUGGCUUCUGCUACGUCAUUGACUUUGCCACCAUGGGCCAGAUCAACCGGCAGACCCAGCGCAAGCGCCGUGUCCGCCGCCGCCUCGACAUGGUCUACCCACUGGUGUCGGGCACCCUGCCCAAGUCGCAGUCCUGGCCAGCAAGCCCUGGGGCAGCGGCAGCCCCCCUGGCUCCCACCUGCACCUGUCCCCAGUGCCUCCUGGUCAUGAGCGUCAAAGCCACCGUGUCAGCCACCGGCCCUGGCGCCGCCACCCUGCAGCCCCGCAAAGCCCCCCCUGCGCCACCCGCUGCACUCAAAGCCCCCGCACCGGCCCCAGGGGCCAAGGCGCCCGACAGCGUGGCAGUGGCGCGUGGCUCACUGAAGCCGCCCGCAGCCCAGGGUGCCCGGCGGCAGGCGGCCAGCGCGCUGGCCCUGGGCUCUGCUGCCAGCCCCCCCGGCACAGGCAGCAGCAAGGCGGCGCACCCUGGCCUCGGCACCCUGAACCGCAGCCACCUCCAGCGUCUGGCCAUCGCCCAGUCGCGGGUGCUCAUCGCCUCUGGGGUCCCCACUGUGCCCGUGAAGAACCUCACCGGCUCCAGCCCUGUCAACCCAGCACUGGCAGGGAUCACCGGGAUCCUGAUGAGCGCAGCUGGGCUGCCAGUCUGCCUGACACGUCCCCCCAAGCUGGUGCUGCAUCCCCCGCCUGUCAGCAAAAGCGAGAUCCAGUCCAUCCCUGGUAUCUCCCACACCUGUCGCAAGACCACCAAGAAACAGGCCAAGAAGGGUAAAAGCCCGGAGGAGGUACUGAAAAAAUACCUGCAGAAGGUGCGGCAUCCGCCGGAUGAGGACUGCACCAUCUGCAUGGAGCGCCUCUCUGCCCCCUCCGGCUACAAGGGACCCCAGCCGGCCGUCAAGCCUGACCUGGUGGGGAAGCUGGUGAAAUGUGGCCACAUCUUCCACCUCCACUGCCUGGUCGCCAUGUACAACAACGGCAACAAGGAUGGGAGCCUGCAGUGUCCCACCUGCAAAACCAUCUACGGGGUGAAGACGGGGACGCAGCCGCCAGGAAAGAUGGAGUAUCACCUCAUCCCUCACGCGCUGCCAGGCCACUCUGACUGCAAAACCAUCCGCAUCAUCUACAACAUCCCGCCAGGAGUGCAGGGACCAGAGCAUCCAAAUCCUGGGAAGAGCUUCACUGCCCGCGGCUUCCCCCGGCACUGCUACCUGCCAGACAGCGAGAAGGGCAGAAAGGUACUGAAGUUGCUGCUGGUAGCCUGGGACCGGCGCUUGAUCUUUGCAAUCGGGACCUCCAGCACCACAGGGCCUCUCAGAGCCACCUGCGAUGCAGUGCUGGGGGCUACCAUGGCUUUGGCGACUGUCCCGGAGGUGCUCUCCCCAUUCACGGGGACUGGCUGUGCUCAUGCCCCGGACCUGCAACACCCCCAGGGUUGGGGAGCAGAGUGGGGGCAGCAGCCGCCGCUGCCCAGGCUGUCCCCAGCCCUGCACCGCUGCUGCCAGGGGCUUGGGGCCUCCCAGCCUGUCUUGUUGCAUUCCCCUCCUGGUUUUCCUGCGCCCCCGGGGACUCUGGUUGGGAGGGGUGCCCGUACCCAUCCUGCUGUGCGUGGUUCUGUUGUCAUCACCGUUUUUCCUCUCCGUGGCCGGGGGGUGUGUCACCCUCAGCUGCGCACCCCAUGGAGCCGGUGGCGGGGGUCAAUAAAGCGGAUGGCAAGGGAUGCUCGCUGUCCCUGCACGGCCUGGCCUCUCUGUUGUCUUCUGUCCGUCGUCUGUGUGGCCAGGGAGGAAACCUCUUUCCCCAGGAAAACCCCUUUUUGGGCAGCUCUGCAGCGCUGCGAUUUCUCCUCCACCCAAGCCCCAGGUCUUCCCCACCGCAGAAAAGCCCUGGCUGGAGCUAUGCAAAACCCUCCUGCGAUCUAGGGGAGGAAACAGGGUUCCCCAUCCUCCCCGGGUGCUGGCCCAAUGGCUCUUAACAUGACUCAGUCUUUUCACCACAUGACUUAUUUUUCUGUUUUAAUGCCGCGUUGCGUGUGCAGUUAGUUGCUGGCUGAAAUAAAGCUGACCGGUGCCUCUCUGCAUGCCUGUGUAUAUCUAUCCCGAUAGAUAUACAUGGAGACGGGUUGCCCCCUGUUUGCGGCAGGCAGGAAUUGGUGGGUGACUCGCAAAGCGUUGCCAAUGCGUGUGUGCCGGCCCUGGUGCCGGCAGCAGCCGGGGGGCUCUGCACCGGGGGUGGGGGCUGUUCCCAGAGCUGGCUGCGGCGCACACCCUGGUCCAAGGUUUUACAGGCAGCAGGUCUCUGCUGGGCAUGAACCGGAGCCCUGCCGGUGCUCUCGUGUGCCGGCGGAGGGUAGGGGGCUGCACAGCUUCCCCGGUGUUUUGAGUGCAGCCUGGGGCGAUGUGGAUGACUGUGAUCAGGGCUUCCUUCUUGUAUGGCCCCGUGUCCCCAGUGACCUGUUGAAGGGCCCUUUUUUUGGUUUUGGGGUGGAGUCACAGCUGGGACAUGACUUGCAGUGGAAACUCGGUUGUCUCUGAAGGGGCAGAGCCCUGGGCCUGGUUGCAGCAGGGAACGCAGCCGCAGAGGUGCCAGGGUCACGGUGACGGGCUGACCCUGAGAGGCAGCCCCCACACUCAGCGGGGAGGGAUGUCUGAAGGGCCCUGGAGCCUCCCAGGGGCUCAAGGCUGGAGCUUGGGGGUCUGGUGGAGGGUGAGAGCUUGUGUCGCUCUGUGGAGGGGUGAGCCUGGGACCUCUGUGCGGACAGGGACCCUCGGCCCAAGGUGGCUGGUGGCAUGGCACAGCUUUGACCCCAGGAGGGAGGGUGGGCAGGGGGCUUUGCUGGGGUUUGGGGCACAAGGCAACACCUGGGAGCUGCGGGGCAGGAUGAUGCUUAUGCCAUCAGCCCCUCUGUCUCGUGCUGGUACCCCUCACCCACGCUCAGCACAGUGCUGUCCUCGGGGCUCGCGGAUGCCUGGCUGUCCCCUUUGCCCAUUGUGCUGUACCCCCUUGCCCUGUACCUCCGGCGGCUGUACCAGACUGUUGCCAGGAUGGUGGCCAGCCCUGCCAGAACUGCGGCGGUCACGCCAGCCACCUCGCCCCCUGUCAGCCCCUGGCCCUUCACCAUCUCUGCCGCGUGAUGCAUCUCCUCUGGCUGGGCCAGCCGCCACGCCUGGCUCUGCCCGUCCCGGACCCAGGCGCUGUCCCCGUCCCCGCUGCUCACCAGCACCGUGUCAAUGGCCGGCAGGUUGCUGGGGGGUCGGGUGAAGGGCGGCAGGCGUGCAGGCGGCAGCGAGCCCCCUGUGAAGAUGCCAGCCUGGACACAGUACUGCACCUGGCAGCUAUCGCUGAUGAGCGCCAAGUGCUGGCUGAAGCCUGGGGGGCAGCUCUUGGCCUGGGGGUCUUUGGCAGUGCCCUGGUGCCGCCCCACCAAGGGGUUCCCUGCCUGGCAGCUGAAGAAGCCCCCGAAAGGCACCGCAUACUGGCCACCAACCUCGUAGUCCUGGCUCACGCACACCCUGAGCUCGUCAAAGAGCUUCAGUGGGAGGUACCCCGAGGGGCAGGACUGGGCACCGGUGAUGGCGUUGGCACUGCGGGUGCUGAACAGCCCUCCAAAGAGGUAUCCUGAGUCUGGGUCCGCCGACCCGCUCGUAGCACACCAGUAGGCACUGAAUUGCACCCGGGAGAGCCAGAAGACGUCCCGGCACUCACGGUGGCAGAAGAUGCCCAGGAUGCACUUGUUGUGGCACUCCAGGUGGCUGUGGCCUUCCUCCCGCUCCUGCGUGCCCAGCAGCACUGGUGUGUAGGCGGUGGGGCAAGAGAAAGCCCCAGUGAGGGGGUUCCUCUGCUCUAGUGCCUGGCACAACGUGCUGGUGUCAGGGCCGGCCAGCCCAGCACACUCCUGGAAGACUCCCCCAAAGGUGAAGUUCGUCAUGGUGCCCUUGCAGGAGCCAUCGUCGGCAUUGGCGUGAAAGUUGAAGUUGGAUGAAGUGGCGUCUGUGCAGCCCGGGUAGGUGUUGAAGGUGUAGUAGCGGCGGAUUGCCAUCUCCACCCGCCUGGCCAGCUUCUUCACCGUGGGGGUGGGCAGCUCUGGCAGGGUGCCGGGGUUGAUGAAGAAGUAAAGGGGCAGCCCUGAGCGGUCAAGAGCCACCAGCUGGUUUCUGAUCCCCUCCUGCCAGGUCUUGAGGGUGAUGCCCGGGUAGAAGGGGGCCCCGCCAACGCUCUCUACCCUGGAGUUGGUGCGAUUACCCAGAUACUGCCUGGUGAAGCCGGAGCUGCUGUUCAGGGACUCCUGGUUUUUCACACUGAUGAUGCUGUGGAAGACCACGCCGGCUGAGGUAGUGACAGCAUUCCGUGUGGCCCAGCUGUCCUUCAGGAAGGUUGCCUUGAUCUGAUCCUCUUGCACCAAGCUGGCACCGGCAUCCACGGAGGUGAUGGUGUGGGUGCCGUAGUUAAGCACCAGCACCUCUGCCAGAAAAUCAGCCAUCCGCGUCUGGUUGUUCUCCAGGUGGCUGGCAAUAGUCAGCAGCUGCUUCUUGAAGCCCUUGUCCAGGACUGCUGCGGGGUCGACCUUGGCAGUGUAAACCACGUUCCUGACUUGCACUCGGGUGGUGACAGCACGGUCUUUCACUUGGUGGGUCUUGGUCCGGUGGAAGUCAUAGGAGAACUUGCCAUUGAUGGAGGAGAAGAGGGACAGCUCCAGGUUGAUGGAGGCGGAGGUGAGGCUUUGGUAAUCUUUCCAGGACUCGAUGAUCUCAGAGUUCAUGUCCAGGUUGCUCUGCUUGCGAGGGAUAGUGAAGACCUCAUCAGGGAUGAUGUAAGAUCCAUCUUCUGUGGUCUUGCACAGUGAGUAGCCCAGGUUGACGACUCUGCCCAUAUCCACAUUCCUGAGGUUAUCCCAGCCUCCCCCCGGCAGGACUUCCAGAGUUGGGAGGUUCAGGGCCUUCUUGCAGUCCGGAGAGCCCGCAGAGGAGGGCAGCUCAGCCCCUCUUGCCCAAGCCCCUGACACCCAGGCGAGCAGGACCCCCCACAGCACCCGGCCCAUGUUGACCCGGUGCAGGGACCUCACCAGACGUCCAAGCGGUGAGGCUGGAGCUGGGAAAUGAGCUGGCUGGGGUGCAGCUGCCGGGUGGUUCCUCCUUUUGGGGGCUGAAUUAACAAAAGGGAAAGGAGAAGUGAGAACUGAUGAAUGUGAGAAAACACGGAGUGCCACCGAGACAAGGGGGUGGGGAGCAGAAAGCAGAGGUGCCUGCCUGUUGCCUCCCUGUUGAGAGAGUUCCUUCUCCCCAUAAAAGCUGCUCUGCUGGGGAUGGGACAGAGAAAUCUCGCCCUCAGCUCUUCACUGUGCCCAGGGAAUGUCGCUGUGUGAACCUCCCUCAGCUAGUGCAUGGGUGGCUCCCCAGGUGAGUCCUCUGUGCCCCUGGGUGACUCUGGCUCCUGCAUGCCACGCAAGGGACCUGUCCCCAGCCCCGCAGCCUUGGGGUUCCACUUGCACAAUGGGGUGAGAUCUGGCCCUGCUUUGCUGGGCCAGGCUUUGCUGCUGACCCCAAGGCUUUCCUUUGUGGCAGAGGUGAGGAGGAGAAGCGGUGCCCUGUGGUUUCAGUGUGGGGGACAGUGCAAUGCUUGUGUCCCUUCUCUCUUGGGGAGGAGGCUGCCCGAGACACUUGGGCAGGUACUAGUGGGUUUGGAAGUUUCCCCAUGGGGGGCAGCCCGUGGCACAGGUGUCCCCCAUGCAGCACCAUCUGCAUUAGGGACCUCCGCAGCCUCCUCUAGCCCAUCACUGUCCUUCCCCCAGCCGAGAAAGCGCCUCCUGCUCAGGAUCGGUGGUUCUGGUGGCACCGAGCCUAGGGAUGCUGGUGUGCGGCUGGACCCACGUUCAGUGGCACAGGGCAGCUGCUGUGUGUUUUGGGGAAUAAACCACUAAAGCAGCUUCUGCUGUGAAAGCUGUGACUCUUUCCAUAUGGACGGGAUCACUUCCCCUCUUUUUGCUGGUUAGUUCCUCUUCCUAGGAUGGUUCUGGCAGACGAGAAGGCUGAAAUGAGAGCUGCGAUGGAGGGGGGACAACUAUAGAUAUGUGUGUGUGAUUUUGCCAGGGUAAUGCUGGGAGUGGGGGGGGAAAGGAUGACCUGAAAUUUUUAGGGCUCUGUAAACCAUCUCGACAGGGCCAGCUCAUUCACCAGCACAGCGAGGAGCCCAGGGGGGCCCUGGGGACGGUCACACUGCACCACUGGGACCGGCGAUGGCCACCACAUGCUCAGAGAUGGCAAGGCUGGACGGGAGGAUGUGUAGUUCUGACUUCAGUUGGUAAGAAACCUUCCAAAACGGCAGUAUUCCUCAUUCCAAGAAGCUGCGUUUUAUGAACCUGCCCUCCGAGUGGAUCUUCCCGGGUGAUGUGAUCGGCAGUGGCCUCACCAGCAACAGGACUGUUCAUUUCCUUUGAAACAGCCAACCCAGGUCCAUUUCCUUCCACGGGGCCCAGCACGGCAGGCCUGGCGAAGUGGCGCGUUUCCCGGGCAGGUCGGGGCUGUGCCUCUUGCCUGGGCCGUGCAGCCACCUGUCCCUGCUCGUCGUGUCACAUCCAUGUGUGAAUCGAUAUCUGUCUAAAUGUACAUAAUUGUAAUAAUAUGAUUGUAACAGUAUGCCAACACCUGCAAGUCUAAAAAGAUGUAUCCACAGAGGAGGCUAAACAGGUGCGUAAGUAUAACUAUUCUAGGUAAGUGUUGUAUAUAAGCGUAAACAAUAUUCUGUAUAAGUUUAAGCAGAUACAUACAUGUAAAUACGUACACAAGUGUGUAGAUGUCUAAGUAGAUAUAUAUUAUAGUGGAAAUAGAUUUUAUAUAUAUAUAUGAAACAAAGAUAUUCCCUAAAUACAUGUGUAAAAAGAGACAUAAGAGUCAAUGUCAGUGGUGUACAAGGUUUUUAAAAUGCAAAGAAAUCCUGUUUACAGAAAGGAUUAAGAAACUCGUCCUCCCCUGGAAGUGUCCCUGGCGGGGGCGCUCGAGGGAAGGGCCGGGGCUGCCCCGGGCGGAACGGCACCCGCACCGUGCGGGGGCGGGGGCGGGGCGGGGCGGGGCGGGGCGGGCUGCGUGCGAGCCGAGCGCUUUGUUCCGCCACCGCGGCAGCUGGCGCUGCUGCGAGCUCUGAGGGACGGGGGUGACGGUUUUCACUGCUCGCCGGGCGCUGGGUGGGCCCAGUUUAGGUUUCAUGUAGUCUAACUUAAGUAAGAGCGUACUGAAUAGAAUUAGUCACAUAGACUUACAGGGCUGUGUGUCUUUUUUGUUUUAAAUACACUCUCUGCUUCCUGUUGCUGGAAGGCUGUGUGCUGUGACGUUCUGCUCAUAUUUACCAAAAGCAGCUACAGGUUACACUGAACAUCUGUGAGAUCACGUGUGGUUUGCACUUCGCAGGGAAAGAAACAGAAAAGAGGAAAAGAAAUAGAAGGAGAAUUAAUAGAAAUAAUAGAUAGAAAUAGAUGGGGUCGAGUAGAAAUAGAACAGAACAAAGCGUCGCGCCGGAUACGCGAAUCUCCUUGGGGCUGGGGCAGGGAGGCGAGUGGGCGGAGAGAAUGCAGAGUGAGAUUCGAAGCCUGCCAAUCAGAUUGCGACACGUAAGAGGGGGGCGGGGCGCAUGAGCACGAUGGGCGGGCCGAGGUGGGGCGGGGAAAUGCAAAUCAGAGGCGUGGCUACGCAAAUAGGGCACUAGAGAGCUCGAACGGGCCGCCGGGAGGUUCCGCCGAGGGGGGUUCUGUGGGUGGGGUGGCUCUCCAGAGCGGAUUCUCUGUUGCGGGUUGUCGCGCGUGACUCGUUUGCUGCGGGUGUUCCCGGGUGGUCGCCCCGGUGCAGGUCACCCCCGCACACGCCGCCCGUUCAGCCCUGGCUCCGCGGUGGCGCCCCGGUGCUCCCCGUGCGCCGCCCGCCGGGUGUCGCUGGUGCUGCCGCCCGGUGGCCGCAGCGCGGUACUGCAGCCCGGCGCGGGGAGCGCGGCACCGGCUCAAACCAGAGCCCAAGCCCCGCGCUCGUGGGGCUGCCUGGCAGAGCUGGGCUCGGUUUGGAGCGGGUUUAGUGCCCGUGUCAAAUUCCAGAGGAAACUUUGGCUAGUCAGUUAAUGGAAACGGUUUUAGUGGCGUGUAUUACAUGUUAAUAUACAAAGCAGGGUUACAGUGUUCUAUAACAUGCAUAGGACGUAUAUUUAAGACCAUUCUAGAUGUAAACAAGCAUUAUUGUUUUUAUUGGGAUCUUUUGGUGUCUAAAUUCUUGAGCAGGGAGAAAACACGUGUGAAACUCCUGCUAAACCAGCCGCGGGGUAUGGCGGAAUGAAUGCGGGACAGAUCACGUUCAGACGCUCCACUCGUGUUUCGGAGAGCACAGCGCGCGCCCAUUCGCACUCGGCGGUCGGUGACUGCACGUCGUGCAAACCGGCGCUGCGCACCCCGUUCCGCUGCCCCGGCCACGGCCGCUCCCGCGCUCCCGCGCGGCCUUUCUGUCCGAACCCUCACGGGGCGGGGCUGGCACGGGGCUGGCACUGCGCGUGCGCGGAGCCGCCGCGUCUCGGGGGCGGUGCCGGGGCGACCGUUGGGCGGAGCCGCGCGCGGGGCCAGCGCUGGGCGGGGCGGCCAUGGCGGGUGGGCCGGGCGCGCGCCGGGGCUGCUCCGCACCGGGCGGGCGGGGAGCGGAGCGGGCGCCGCGCUGCCCCUGGGGCCGCUGCGGAUGCCGCGCAGCACGGGGCAGCACCGGCGGCUGCUCCAGCGGCUACUCCAGCCGCGGCGCCGGGCCGGGUUCCUGCGGGGGAAGCCUCGCUGCCGGCGGGAUUUUGGUGUUGUGGUUGUUUUUUGGCUGGUUGUUUUGGACGUGUUGGGUUUUCUCGGCUUGCCCUUUGCAGUGGCUUCCAGGGCCGUUAUCCGGGACGUGUUGAGGCGUUGUGACCCCGCAGCUGCAGGCGCCGCCCUGUGCGUGCAGCUGCUCCGCGAGUUCGAGACCCCUCAGCGGCUCCUGUGCCCGAGCGGGGCUCCAGCCCGCUCGGCAGAACUGCGCCUGCUCGCGAAGCCUGGCUCGUCAGGCAGGGAAAAAUGGCUCAAAUUGUACUUUUUUCAGUGGAGCAACUAUAAAAAUAAGCCAGAGGCUGUCAUGGCAGUAACUCAGUGCCAGUGAUGUCCGUGUUUCCUUGCUGAGUACCUGACAGCUUCUCUGUGACAUGGAAGGGGUGAAGAACACGUGGGAAGUGACCAGAGGCUCGCAGUUGCCAAGGCCAGUGCUGCAGGCUGGCUCCUGGGGUGUCUGAUUUCCCUUUGGCUCCUCGUGCACACACACGUACAGCCCACAUAGGCCCGCGGCUUUUAUCUGAAUGGUUUCAGGCAGGGCUGUUGUUUGUAAGAAUCUUUUUUAAUGACAGACCUGUUCUCAUCUGGAACGGAUGUGCACUGCGAUGUAUCUCCAAAGCAAAGCUUGUGGGGCAUUGUCACUUUUUCAAACAAGGUGAAUAUAACCUGCAAAAAACACCCUUGGCAUAGAAGCAUCUGAACACUUGUAAAGGUCAGGGUUGUGCUUUCUCCGUAUAAUUCCAUAGGUUCAGUGUGUGUCCUCCAUCAAAUGUCAUGGCCUAAAGAUGUUGUUAUGGCUUUGACACAAAUCACUUUGGUGUGUAUUAAAACAGAAACGUUUGUGCUUAGAAAAGGUAACGGAAGGUACGGCUUUCCUAACCGAGGAUGAUGAGAAGCACUGUGGAAACAUUGGUUUUCUAACCCUGGAUAUCCAGGAAAACAAAACGACCAGUUGUUGCGAGAUGUUGGUACGGAGGCUGCGCUGCAAGGGAACUGCCCCAGUCUCCGAACGCUCCUGAAUUCCGCAGCCCUGCGGCUGCACGGGUGUGAGCUCUGCCGGGAGCUGAGGUGUGCUUGGGAAUCCCCGGCAGCAAGGAACAACAGUACCUGCAUAUUGCUCCUUCUGCACAUUGUCUUCGAUUAAUGCUGACCUGAGGUAUUUAUCUGCAGUACAACACGGUGUAGAUACUAAAUCAGGUCUGGAGGCCAUCUCAGGAGAUGGAUUAGCUCAUCAUUACAUCAAAAAUAGAAGGAAUGCUACUUCCUUGUUUCUUGUGCUUAUGUAAUAAGGCACAUAUGUGGUAGUAACAGAGUUCGUGACCCCUGUACUUCAUAUGCAUAUAGCAGUGUAAAAAUAAGUUAUUAAAAUUAAACUGGCUUUCAGGUUUUCUGUUUUAAUUACUUUUCCAA
Columba livia (rock pigeon) is the source of this 10747-nucleotide RNA transcript. It is a transcript of the gene named deltex E3 ubiquitin ligase 4, with no coding region annotated. The transcript is spliced from 13 exons. The record is from RefSeq and is a predicted model, not a curated record. NCBI's taxonomy places the organism in Eukaryota, Metazoa, Chordata, Aves, Columbiformes, Columbidae.